RNAcentral lists this long non-coding RNA (4793 nucleotides) under Gallus gallus (chicken). The record is from RNAcentral. Lineage: Eukaryota; Metazoa; Chordata; Aves; Galliformes; Phasianidae.
UUUGGAAUUUUUUUCUUAGAUGAUACUUUCUGCUUUUGCUAUGGAAACUCCAAGAGUUUCUGGUUGAGUGUUUAAUAGUCUAAAUAGUACCCAUGGGAUGAUCUGGGUUUGCAAGCAAGUCAUUUAUGACUCUCAGUUACUAGCACUUUUUUUUAGUGUGUAUUCUGAGAUGCUGACAAUAUUUGGACUAUUCAUUCCCAGGUACAAUAUAUUACUGUUUUUCUGUUAUGAAUAGCUAGGGUUGCAUUUUACUUGUUGCCUGUGGCUUCUGACAGAUUUUGUUACUCUUUUCACAGUGCUUACAAAUUAAUUCACGAUGUUUCAUAAUGCUGUGACUCCCAUACUGCAGGGUGCAGAAGAUGCGGACUUAAUGGCUAAUGCAAGUGAGGUGCAGUAGCUUAAAUUGUAGCUUUAUAAACAUAUUGAAACUUGAAACUUGAGAAAACAGUUUAUUUAACCUUACAAUAAAUUUUGCAAAAUAGAAUAUCUUUGAUUAUCAUAUUUUAACCUGAAGGAAUUUUUUCUUUGCAUUUUAUAAAAGAUUGAAACACUGUUGGCAAUGAUAUGGACACAGAAAUACUAUUUACUAUAUUUUAUUUUCUACAGUCUGGUUAAAAGUAGCAUGCAAGUAAUUGAAUAAAAAUACUUGUAUAUAUGACUUAUUUUGAAAUAACAAUUAUACCAGCAAUGGAUAAAAAUCUUGCCAUGAAAAUUUAAAUGAAAGUAUGACAAAAAGAAAACAAUUUUUGACCUGAAAAAAAUAUUUGUUUCUGUUAUCCUUCACAUAUCCUAUUCAUUUUAUACUGUAAUGGGCUCUAAAAAAUAUUUUCAUACAUUUUAAACUGUUUUUAUAUUGUUAAAACAUUUUAACAAAAGAAGGGCAUGAAUAAUUAAGAAUGCUGGAUUGCUUGCAAGAGAAUCUUCUAUUUACACAGGCUAGCCCAUACUGCUCAGCACUCUGAUGAAACCCAUCUGACUUCUACAUACGUCUGGUACCAGAUGGUACAUACUGCAUGCUUGAACAUGGAUUUCUAUCAAGUUGAAUAUUUUCCCUCAACUUAACUAACCACAUGAAGGCAUAUUUUGCACCACAUCUGGUCAUUCUUGUGCUUUCUAAAUAACAACCUUUUGUAAAAAUAUGCACACAUGUCCUUAAGGUUGCCAAGUGCAUGCUAAAUGUUAACAAACAGAACGGAUAAUAUGCAGAUUGGCUUUUUUUUAAGACGUAUCCUAAAUUUAAAGAGCUAUCAUGAUGCAAUUCCUGUAAUAAUGACCCCUAGAAGGGAACUGCAGACUCUUAGGCAUCUCACUCCAGAGAGAUAUCCGCAGCAACUCGAAGGCAGUUGUACAUCUCCUGUGGCAGGUCAGCCCGAGUGAGAUUGUUUCCAUCCAGGCGUAAAUGUGUGAUCUUGGAAUAGGUCAGUGGUCCAACAACCUUACAGAAGCUGCUCAGUGGGAACUUGUUAAUUUUGUUCACUUGGAGGUAGAAGUUUUCAAGAUUCUCACUGACAGUUGGAAUACUCUUCAGCUGAUUGAAAGACAGAUCCAACUCGACCAAUGAUGUGAUAUUGAAGACAUUGCCUGGUAUUCCAGAAUCUGUUAAUUUAUUGUGCGAUAAACGUAAAUAUUGCAGAGUUUUAAAACCUUGGAAGUAUUCAUCAGGAAUAUUGGAGAUCUGGUUAUUGUCAAAAUACAGCAUGAGUAAGGAGUGAGGCAGUCCUGUUGGUAGCUUUGUAAGUUGAUUGAAGCUUAAGUCUAGAUACAAAAGUGAAUUCAGACCUUUAAAUGCCCCAGAAAUAGAAUCUGUUUUCAGCUGGUUGUUCUGGAGAUGAAUGACAGUCAGAUUUACCAGCCCCUCAAGUGCACCAGGGUUGACUUUUGUGAUCUUAUUGUGACUUAAUUGCAGGUCAUCCAGAGUUUUGGGGAGCGGUCCAACAGCUUCUGUCAAAUUGUUGUAGUUAAUGUGAAGUUUCUUCAGAUUCUUUAGUUUAGAGAAGACUCUUCCCUUAAUUUUUGAGUUUUCCAGAUGAUUGUGAUCUAGGAUCAGCCACUGCAGGUCUGUUACAUUAUCAAAUGUGUUCUCUUCAAUGGCCUCAAUCAUAUUGUUUCGAAGAUAAAGGUAUUUUAUUCCACUUGGUACAAUUGGAAUGGUUUUCAGUUUAAGAUUGUCACAAUACAUUGCAGUGGGAUAGCUUAAAGGACAAUUACAUUCUGGGGCACAGACUGCUGUGGAUGGCCCAAAAGGGUCAUAGCCAUAAUCAUCUGCAGGACCAUAGUCAUACUGGCAAAAAAUGCCACUAAUCAAUACUAGAAAGAUGGGUAGAGAGUUUAAAGUCAUCUUUUCAAUGUGUCUUGUCUCUUACUGCCUUGAAGCUGCUUUCCUUAAUUCCCAGAGCAGAUGCAAUAAGGGACUGUAUCGACCAAUAUAUGCUGUAAACAGUGACAGGAGGUAAAAGUCUGCCAGAUCCUCAGUGUUACAAGAGGAAAAAAAAAAAAAAAAAAAAAAAAAGACCCUGAAAAAAAAAAAAAAACUAGUCAGGCUGUUCUCUGAAGCUGCUAUGUCAUCAUGGUGAUCUUGUGGUGUGGCAUGUAUGAAAAUGCAGCUCUCUUAAUGAAGUGCAGGUGGAUACCACAUUCUGUACAAGGACAACCCAUCUGCUGUUCCUGUGGGAUGACACAAUGAUAAGUUUUUCACAAAUCUGAAAAAGUUUAGAUCACUAGCCGUGGCAUUAUACAAAGAUUUUCUGUAUUUUAGAGGAACAACAUUUUCCUUUAUAAAACAAAUUAUAAACAGACUUUUGUUUUCCAACUUAUUUUAUACUGCUAGACAUGAGUUAACAAAUAGCACUCAGACCUCAAUGCUGCUGUACUUCUUUAGCCAAGUGACUCAUUCUUUUUUUUUUUUUUUUUUAACUAUCUUAUGUCCACAAUAAAAUAUCCUUAAUAAAACUUCUAGCUUAAGGACAGGAACAAAAGUGUCAGGAUUAUCUUUGAAUUACAUCAUUUUACUCAACAUAAGAUACUGAGUUCAAAGUUUCUUCCACAAAUUCUAGUAAUUUACUUGGUCUGUAACUUUUCUUUGGUGAUUAAAUGCAUGCCUGUUUAGUACAAACACAUCACCAGGAAUGGUUUUUGUGUUGUAUUUUUUUCCCCAGCAGUUACUGUAAACUCACUUUAUACAUUUGUUCAUUUUUGCACUUACGGCUUUCUCCUGCUCUUCAGAAUCUGGAACUACUCAGCUUUACAUUGUCUGUUUCUUAUUCCAUGGAUGUAGUUCAAGAAUGCAUCUUACAGCUUGGAUGAGAAUGCUAUUUUCACUGGGAAAUGCCAAAAAAUAAUGCACUGAGACAGUAACUGUUUAAAGUGGAUCUUACUGUUUCUCCCCUUAUCUCUAAAUGGUAGAUGUCUUCCCCUUUAAUGAGAUGCAACCUCUCUGUUCUAAAGCUGGAUGGGACAAAUGUGAAAUGUGCAUAUUGAAAGAAUACAGGAGCCAGUUUAAAAAAUCUUGCAUGUUUAAUUAUAUUUAACCAUAAUUGUUGUUGAUACAAGAGUGCAAACACUCCUGUUUUUAGCCCUGUGCUUUUGUUUUGUUUUGUUUUGUUUUGUUUUCUCUGGUGCCACCUGUACAGCAUAAAUGAUCUUUCAGAACUUCUUGCAAUCCAUUUCUUUGCACUUCUUUAACUCACAAGUUUUGAUUUAACUCUCAUGCCCAUGAAGGCAACAAGAUUGUUUACCUUUAUGAACAGUCACAGUACAUGAUGUAGGUAGGUUGGAGAAUCCAAGUGGCCUCCCGCUGCAGAGGAACCUAGUCAUGGGUUUCUGCCAAGAUCUGCUACUGCUACAUCUGGGCCUUCAUGUCAGUGGGGUCACUGGUGGCAGAGGCAGGCCAGGCAUAAUUCUGUGCUCUUCACAGAGAAUGAGAAAUACACCCAGUGAUUGCAAAUCCCUGGGCUACAAAUUCCUGUACUUCUGUCAUAACACAAUUAGCAAACAAAACUACUUAAGACAGUGCCAAAUGCCAGUGCAGCCCUGAGGGAGUGAAUUUAAUUGUUUUGAUAUUCUACCACCAUGCAUGUCACCCUGGCACUGGAAAACCAUUUACAUGUUAGAAAACAGAGGCUGAUGACAGGUCAUAAUUACACGUCCUGAGUGAUGCAGAUCAGCUAAAUGGUUAAGAGUGUUUGUAAUCUUUAAAAUCGCUACAGUAAAUUAAGCUAAGUAGGUGAAAAGUGCAUGGGAUAAGGACUGGAAAUGUACAAGUGGACAAAGCUGUUGUUGUCCUGUGCAUGGACAAAUGGAGACCAGAUGGAGUUUCUCAUUCUCGGUAUGAUACUUCUCUGAAAAUUACUUCAUUAGUUUCAGUUGACCAAGGAAAACCUAAGCUGUAGCCUUGAUUUCAAAGGGAGAAAAAAGCAAGAGCAUUCAGAAAACAAUCUAAUUGAAACGAAAGGAUUUUGAGUACAGAAAAAGAAUGUCUCAGAAUGCCCUUUAAGUAGCCCUGUGGUUUGCUCUGGGAAAGAAGGUACAGCAAGGUGAGCAACAGAGCAUGACAGUUGUAAAGAUAAUUUAACAAACCACAGGGAUUUGUAUUCUCUGAUUAAAAACCUUUUCUGAAAGACAAGAACAGUACUGUAUAAAAAUUAAUAUAUAAAUCAAUCUUUCAGUAAUAGACAUGAUUUUACUUUUGCAGUAUAAACAGAACUACAUAUUGAUGGAAAUACAGGAUGGUGAAGGCUCAAAACAUUUUUGGCAAAGGUAUAUCGAUGUACUAGAUGUUUAUUACUCCAAUUUAU